CCACCCCACCACCCACCCCUGUCUCCGCCCCUGCUUUGUGAACAACCUCCGUUCCCAUUUUCUGACUAGUCAAGUCGAAUCAGGAGGCGGAUGAAAUCAAAUUAGAAUCCCCUUCUCGCUCCCAAUCAUCACGUAGAAAUCCCGAUUAACGACGAGCCGUGGUUCCAUUGUCACUGGCUAGCUUCCUCCGAGUCCAACACUACUGGUUCCCAUCUAGCGCGCAGGCAGUCACAUGGCCUCUACGCCACCAUGGAUGGUAGGAAGCAAGCACGACGGUUAAAGGAGCAGAUUCGGCCGCAGCCCGCAGGGUUCCUCAACGGCACCGCCGCCACUACACCAAGGGAGGCGCUGGAUCAACAAUCCUAGUUACAACGUUUUGAAAACAAAUACGAAAGUUUCCAAAUCCAAUUAACAGUUCAAUUCGCGAUUUUGAAAAUUGUAAAUUCUAGAUUGAAAACUUGAUUCAAAUGCUAAAGUAUCGUAUUUUGAUAUGCAGAUCCGUUGAAAGUGGAAAAGAACAGAAACAUGGAGCUCAGGAGCUGCACUCAAUAUCGAAGAUAACAACUGGAGACACCAUUGGCCUGGAUCUAGGAUCGGAGAUUUGCUACGAGGGAGGAGAGAACAAAUGCGUAUCCAGCUUACUAACACACCGAAGCCAUCGACGGGGAACAAAGAGAAACUUAUAAGCAGAUCCCGGGAUCAGAAAGGCAGAGGAAAGUAUCAUCGUUGUGGCAAGGAGGAAGAUAGGAGAAAAAAGAUUAAGGGAAAGUGAGGAACUGCGUACCUAAAUGUCCGAAGAACGGGCGGGAUGGCUUCGCGGAACUGGCCGCAGCAUCCUGUCUCUUUUAUAAUAGAUGGGGCAGAACACUGUACGACACCAUUUUGACUUA
Molecule: long non-coding RNA, 890 nt
Organism: Phragmites australis (common reed)
Lineage: Eukaryota; Viridiplantae; Streptophyta; Magnoliopsida; Poales; Poaceae
Exons: 2
Source: RefSeq, a predicted model, not a curated record